GGGGAUCCUGGGGAGCUGUGGCUCAGACCUCUGGUUUCUGCGCCUCCUCACUCUCCAAACCCAACCUCGAGGUUCCCCCGCCGCUGCGCACCCUGGGAAGCCCUUUCUCACCAGGAGCUCUCACCCCAAUAUCAUUCUCUCCCUCCUCCUCCAACUCCUCCGAGCCCAGGUCCGACAUGGUCUCGCCCCAGCCUGGAUCACAGCCGCAGCGCCUCUAGCAGGAGGGCCUGAGCGGGUUCUGUGCCUGGCUGCCCACCGGCUCUCUGACCUGGACCUCGCCGUCGCUGGCCCCUGAAAUCCAUCACUUUUGUCGGCUGUUCUGUGACGCCACAACGAGGAGCCACCUGGGCUCUGCUGACCCUUCGGGAUUCGCGGCUAGCUGUGAUGUGUCCGCCAAGAUCUCUUCUCUUGUCUGUAAACAACUUCACUCUCAAGGAGGCAGCUCUGGCCUCUCAGCAGGUGCGGCCUACAGUGAUGUCCGUCCGGGUUUUACAUCCUUCCCCGACCUCGACAUGAGUCCCAGCCCCCUCGGGCCUCUGACUCUCAGGUGUCCCCUACGAUCGCCGUCCUCUCCUCUCGCUCCUGGCUCCCCUACACUGUCACACACCCACACAAUCACAGACGCACACGCAUGUACACGUGCAGGCUUGGAAAUCUGCUUUACCUGACGCACUCCGCCUGCCGAAGGCCCCUCACAUCUCCCAUUUCCUCUGCCAUCAUCCCAGACUGCAAAGCUGUGUUAUUUGUUGUUGCUGCAGGAGCUGGGGAGGAGUGACUGAAUAACUAUAGGAUUUGGUCUUGAUGGGAGAAUCCCAGAAGCCAAAUCCACGCGGUGAAUAAGCUGCUGAUCUUCCAGAGCACACAUCCCCUAGAGAUUCUUCCCAAUGCUAAUAUGAAAGGUUACAACCAUAACCCAUCAUCAGGCCCAAAUAUAUUACUUACUGAAUAAAUACACAAGUUACAACAACACACGAGAUUCCAAAAUUAUGUCGUUUUUUAGAUGCAAAGAUAAAAAUGUUGUAAACACCAAAAUUUAACAGCUUUUCUUAUGGGGAAAAGUGGGGAGUUAGGGAUAACAGAUGAUUAUUAUUUUCUUCUCUACAUAUUGGCAGUUACCCAGUUACUACAAUUAAGCAUGUCCUAUUUUUAUAAUAAAAUGCCAGAAGCAUUUUAAAUGUUAGAAAUCUAGAAUGGUAACAUAAGUAUAUGCAAAUAAAUACUCGUUUUUUACAUUUAAAAUGUCAGAAAUUUAGCUUUCAAAUUUGUCCUAACAAUGACAGUAACCAGUGUUUACUAAGUUCUGACACUGUGUGUGGGCACUGUUUUAAGAAUUUUAUGAGUUAUCUUAUUAAAUCCUCACUAUCAUUCCUCCAUUGAACAUCUAAGGAAAGGGAGUUAUAGGGGGUUAUAAACUAAAAAUAACCUCCUAAGCCCCACCACAGCCAACUGAAUGGACCCCUCUUGGCCAAGAGGGCCCCAGAAACCUUAAAAACUGCGUUCUCAGCCAUGAUGGGAAGGGAGGUCGAACAUGCCUCACUAAUACCCUUGUGCAGUUUAGACACAACAACUAACAAGCAUUAAUGUUAAAAUAGAGAUCAUAAGACUGACAGAAUGGACGCUGUGGCAGUAAGAUACCAACUUACAAACAGGACCUAAGGCCAUGCCAGGCAUGAGUUAAGUCAUGCAUCCCUACACUUAAAAGAAUAAACUAUAUUUUAACUACCUGGAGAAAGAAGCUGCAUCCCAGCCCAGAUCCA
This 1757-nucleotide long non-coding RNA is filed under the name Homo sapiens (human). RNAcentral's name for it is "HSALNT0274066". The record is from RNAcentral. Lineage: Eukaryota; Metazoa; Chordata; Mammalia; Primates; Hominidae.